GAAACAAAAAGGUGAAUAUUGACAGUAGCGGAAUUUUGUACGUCGUCAGUGCGUCACAAACUUGUUUAGCUUUUGCGCCAAACAGCGAUCCAUCUGACCUGGCAAUAUUCGGAAAUGUUCAGCAGAAGACGCUACAAGUUGUGUACGACGUGGGAGCAGGAAAACUAGGGUUUGGGCCACAAGGGUGUGCUUAAUUAUAUCAACUAUGUUACCAAGAUUUGUGGUGUUGAUAAAUGUAUUGAAAAUUGAUGAACAGCUUUAGGUCAUUGAAAGGAAUGAUUUUAGGCUAUGGAAUAACAGAAUUGUGACAAAGAUUUCAAGCAACAAAAGUAUAGUGUGCCUGUAAAAUCAAGUACAUAAGUGUAUAAAUUUUUUUUUUAUAUAUUAUAUAAAUUUACGAUAUCAAUCAUUAGAAUUUAGCACAACUAGCUUAAUACGGUAUUUAGCUUGUACUUGGCAUCUUAUAUCAAGCAUUUAACACACUUCCUGAAUAUCCAUCCAUAACAAGGGUGAUCCUGACUAUAAGCGAACAAAACUAUGUAGGGUCAACUUCUAUAUAGAAAUUUCAGGACCCCCACAGUCGAUUUCGACUAAGGCCUGGGGUCGGCCCUGACCCAAACAAACUAUAGCAUAGCUCACCUAACUCUCAAAACCCAGAGGGAAAACAGAAGCAUAGCUCAUGGUAAUUACUCAAUCAAAAUGCCAUUCUUGUUAUUCCUGAUCACUUUGGCAAUAGUUUAACUUAGCAUCGAUCACGGACUCACGGUAAUUAUGUUAGCCAAGCAAGUAGAUCCUAACAGAAAUAGCGGCUUACAAGCAUAACAAUCAAGCUACUGCAUAGCUCAUUUAACACUGCAGUCCAGAUAUAAUCUCAAAAACAGAGCUCAAAUAAUCGCUCAAUCAAGGUGCAGUUCUUGUUAUCCUUAACAAGUUUAGCAAAAGUUACACCUAACGUAACAAAGUUUUGUUAGCCUAGCUAGUGAAUCCAGAUAAAUUGCGGCUUAUAAGCAUAACAAUCCAGGCUACUAACAGAACUCACUUAAACAUCGCAGUAUACUCAAUCAACAUGCACAUUGCUUCUUGGAUGUUAGUCAUGAAUCGUAAUCAGUUGAGCAAACCUUAAACUAAGCACAUUAUGGUAAAAUUUUAGCCAAGCUGCAAAUUCUAAAGCAUUACUUAUCUGUUUUCUUAUAUUUGUUGACUGACUUUUUGGCACACGAUGAGAAGCUUUGGCAAGUUUUAGAAAUAUUAUUUUUGAAUUUUAAAUUAAAAAAUAUUAAUUUUAUUCACAAAAAUAAUAUUUCUAACUCUGCGAUCAAAGCUCUUCAACGUGUGAAAGAGGUACUGUAUACACAAGUAUAUAAAUGAACAUAGCAUUUCAUCAAACAGUUGUUAUGCUUUGGUUGUAUAAUACCAACCAUGCUUAAACUAAUCAAGAAAAAAGUAAAUUAAUUAAGAUAUGAAUUAAAUAUAAAUAAAAAUAGGUGGAUGCAUGGAUAUAUAUGUUCAUACCUCUGAUCUUUGAACGAUACUACAAGAUAUGUGAAUCCAAAUUUUUUGUAUUUUUUUUGAUAUUGUUGCUGCUGGGUUUUAUGAGAGUCCAGUCGUUCAACUUUGUAGGUAGAAAUUGCGGCCUUAUCGAACCUAGAGUAACGUUUCGUCUUGAUUUUGGUGGGCCGGCUCAGCUAAGGAAA
RNAcentral lists this long non-coding RNA (1694 nucleotides) under Daucus carota (carrot). RNAcentral's name for it is "long non-coding RNA (DCAR_LNC000036)". Lineage: Eukaryota; Viridiplantae; Streptophyta; Magnoliopsida; Apiales; Apiaceae. The record is from RNAcentral.